CCCUAGUUUAAUUCUGGCUGGAGGAGAGGUUGUAAGUAUGGUAUCACAUAAGUUCAUUAUAUGUUUUAAGUGUCAAGAGUGCUUUGAUGUAUAUUAGUGGUUGGUUCUCGGGAUUCAAUGAUGUUGGAACGGGAUACUUACAAAAUAAAGUGGAUAAGUCACAGUGCCAGCAUCCGCGGUUAUUCUGUUUGCUUGUUUCUCUUUUUGGGGUGAAAGGUUUAUUAACUUUAUUCUUUUAAGUUACAGUAAUAAGUUAGUUAAUUUAGAGAAGUUGGUUAAUUUAAUAGUAGAUUAUUGGAUGGGAUGGGGAUUAGAGACCCCCGUACCAAUAGGUUAAGUUUGUUCCAUGGUUAAAACUAAAAGGAUUUGGCAGCCGGCGAGAUUCGUUUGGGGGAGCGUGUUUUUUUAAAAGAUAGUCCGCUUAUGAUUUUACUAUAGCUAGUUAAGUUAGUGUACGUCCGAUUUAAGAUUUGUGACUAGUGUCGAGAAUAAGUGUAAUUCUGAGAAUUUAAGUCAGGUCCAUGUGCUACUAAUGUUAUAUGGUAAUUAUGCGCUACAUUAAAGAAAACUUGUUAUUGAAGGAGUAGUGGGUUAUUUAGGACUCAAUAGUAGGGGGAUGUAUAGUUAGGUCUUUCGAAGUUGAUUUAGCUGGGGUACACAUCGCCCGUCAAUUCCAGCAUUAGCUGGGGUAAGUCGUAACAUGGUAAUGGUUGGGGAACCAGUCGUUAGUUGGCU
Molecule: ribosomal RNA, 735 nt
Filed under: Cyathocotyle prussica
Lineage: Eukaryota; Metazoa; Platyhelminthes; Trematoda; Diplostomida; Cyathocotylidae
Description: small subunit ribosomal RNA
Source: RNAcentral